RNAcentral lists this long non-coding RNA (840 nucleotides) under Homo sapiens (human). RNAcentral describes it as "non-protein coding MIR4500HG:2". Lineage: Eukaryota; Metazoa; Chordata; Mammalia; Primates; Hominidae. The record is from RNAcentral.
GUAAUUCGAGCGUGGGACUGUGCAAUUCUCGGAUUGGGAAAGGGAGGAGUGGAAAUAACCCCGGCAGUGCCAGGCUUGCUGGUGGUCAGGAACAGAUGAUUCCAGCCCUGUGCUGAUCGCCUGCCUUCCUCCUGCCAUUCAGAAUGCUGCUGUCUCGUGUACUUACUGUUAAGGAUCCUGGAAAAGGGAGUGGUUCCUCCUAGCUGCAAACAAGGGCGCUACUUUUCUUUUCUCUUUAAUAGAAUUACGUUUUAUAGGUGUGUCUAGGCAACACAAGGGAAUGUGAAAGACUUUCAGAGGGAAUGUUUGUGAAUACAUCUGGUGUGUACUAAAAAGCUGGAAAACCCCUAAGUAAAUGCAAUAUCGAUAGAAAGCGAGUUUCUUGAAGAGUCAUCUGCUAAACUCCACUAGAGUCAUCUCUACAGGUGUGGUUAAGAGAAAAAAAAAUUGCCAUUAAGGAAUCAGCAAAUAGGAUGUCUGAAGUGAGGAUAUAGCACCUAUCUCUGAGAUUAAAGUCAUCUGAUCAAAAAUGAUGCCUCUGAGACUAUAACAAAGGAAUGAAUAAUGAAAUAUAAGAAUGGGGAUUCUGCACUAACUCUAUGGGGAAGAAAACAAUGUCUCUGUUCAUCAUGAGAAAUGCUCAGCGACUGCAGACAUAAAGAGAAAGCUUUCAAUUAAAGUUUCAAUGAUGGGAUAGGAACUGAGAAGUCUGUGGAGUUUUCUGCCUAGGAGUACCCUUGGAAAAGCCACUGCUAUGCCCAACCAGCACUGGGAAUCCCAGAUCACAUGCAAUCAUAGGAGUUGCCCUGGAGGCAGAAGCUCAGCACAUGUUCUGGUACA